UACGUAGGGGGGCAGCGUUGUCCGGAUUCACUGGGUGUAAAGGGCGCGUAGGCGGCUAUAUAAGUCAGCGGUGAAAUUCUACGGCUUAACCGUAGCGCUGCCGUUGAUACUAUAUAGCUUGAGCUCAGAAGGGAGAAGCGGAAUUCCAGGUGUAGCGGUGAAAUGCGUAGAUAUCUGGAAGAACACCGGAGGCGAAGGCGGCUUCUUGGCCUGCAGCUGACGCUGAGGCGCGAAAGCGUGGGGAGCAAACAGG
This 253-nucleotide ribosomal RNA is filed under the name uncultured bacterium. Its description in RNAcentral is "partial 16S ribosomal RNA". It matches the Rfam family "Bacterial small subunit ribosomal RNA", at positions 524 to 776 of the family's 1533-position model. The record is from RNAcentral.